UAUACAUGCAGUCGAGCGAACAGAUGAGAAGCUUGCUUCUCUGAUGUUAGCGGCGGACGGGUGAGUAACACGUGGGUAACCUACCUAUAAGACUGGGAUAACUCCGGGAAACCGGGGCUAAUACCGGAUAAUAUUUUGAACCGCAUGGUUCAAUAGUGAAAGACGGUUUCGGCUGUCACUUAUAGAUGGACCCGCGCCGUAUUAGCUAGUUGGUAAGGUAACGGCUUACCAAGGCGACGAUACGUAGCCGACCUGAGAGGGUGAUCGGCCACACUGGAACUGAGACACGGUCCAGACUCCUACGGGAGGCAGCAGUAGGGAAUCUUCCGCAAUGGGCGAAAGCCUGACGGAGCAACGCCGCGUGAGUGAUGAAGGUCUUCGGAUCGUAAAACUCUGUUGUUAGGGAAGAACAAAUUUGUUAGUAACUGAACAAGUCUUGACGGUACCUAACCAGAAAGCCACGGCUAACUACGUGCCAGCAGCCGCGGUAAUACGUAGGUGGCAAGCGUUAUCCGGAAUUAUUGGGCGUAAAGCGCGCGUAGGCGGUUUCUUAAGUCUGAUGUGAAAGCCCACGGCUCAACCGUGGAGGGUCAUUGGAAACUGGGAAACUUGAGUGCAGAAGAGGAGAGUGGAAUUCCAUGUGUAGCGGUGAAAUGCGCAGAGAUAUGGAGGAACACCAGUGGCGAAGGCGGCUCUCUGGUCUGUAACUGACGCUGAUGUGCGAAAGCGUGGGGAUCAAACAGGAUUAGAUACCCUGGUAGUCCACGCCGUAAACGAUGAGUGCUAAGUGUUAGGGGGUUUCCGCCCCUUAGUGCUGCAGCUAACGCAUUAAGCACUCCGCCUGGGGAGUACGACCGCAAGGUUGAAACUCAAAGGAAUUGACGGGGACCCGCACAAGCGGUGGAACAUGUGGUUUUAUUCGAAGCACCGCGAAGAACCUUACCAAAUCUU
This 951-nucleotide ribosomal RNA is filed under the name Mammaliicoccus sciuri. Its description in RNAcentral is "bacterial SSU rRNA". It matches the Rfam family "Bacterial small subunit ribosomal RNA", at positions 50 to 982 of the family's 1533-position model. Lineage: Bacteria; Bacillati; Bacillota; Bacilli; Caryophanales; Staphylococcaceae. The record is from RNAcentral.